AAACAGAUGCUAAUACCGCAUAACAACUUGGACCGCAUGGUCCGAGCUUGAAAGAUGGCUUCGGCUAUCACUUUUGGAUGGUCCCGCGGCGUAUUAGCUAGAUGGUGGGGUAACGGCUCACCAUGGCAAUGAUACGUAGCCGACCUGAGAGGGUAAUCGGCCACAUUGGGACUGAGACACGGCCCAAACUCCUACGGGAGGCAGCAGUAGGGAAUCUUCCACAAUGGACGAAAGUCUGAUGGAGCAACGCCGCGUGAGUGAAGAAGGGUUUCGGCUCGUAAAACUCUGUUGUUAAAGAAGAACAUAUCUGAGAGUAACUGUUCAGGUAUUGACGGUAUUUAACCAGAAAGCCACGGCUAACUACGUGCCAGCAGCCGCGGUAAUACGUAGGUGGCAAGCGUUGUCCGGAUUUAUUGGGCGUAAAGCGAGCGCAGGCGGUUUUUUAAGUCUGAUGUGAAAGCCUUCGGCUCAACCGAAGAAGUGCAUCGGAAACUGGGAAACUUGA
This 505-nucleotide ribosomal RNA is filed under the name Lactiplantibacillus plantarum. Its description in RNAcentral is "bacterial SSU rRNA". It matches the Rfam family "Bacterial small subunit ribosomal RNA", at positions 154 to 645 of the family's 1533-position model. Lineage: Bacteria; Bacillati; Bacillota; Bacilli; Lactobacillales; Lactobacillaceae. The record is from RNAcentral.